GGCUCAGGAUGAACGCUGGCGGCGUGCCUAAUACAUGCAAGUCGAGCGAACAGAUGAGAAGCUUGCUUCUCUGAUGUUAGCGGCGGACGGGUGAGUAACACGUGGGUAACCUACCUAUAAGACUGGGAUAACUCCGGGAAACCGGGGCUAAUACCGGAUAAUAUUUUGAACCGCAUGGUUCAAUAGUGAAAGACGGUUUCGGCUGUCACUUAUAGAUGGACCCGCGCCGUAUUAGCUAGUUGGUAAGGUAACGGCUUACCAAGUCGACGAUACGUAGCCGACCUGAGAGGGUGAUCGGCCACACUGGAACUGAGACACGGUCCAGACUCCUACGGGAGGCAGCAGUAGGGAAUCUUCCGCAAUGGGCGAAAGCCUGACGGAGCAACGCCGCGUGAGUGAUGAAGGUCUUCGGAUCGUAAAACUCUGUUGUUAGGGAAGAACAAAUUUGUUAGU
Molecule: ribosomal RNA, 453 nt
Filed under: Mammaliicoccus sp.
Lineage: Bacteria; Bacillati; Bacillota; Bacilli; Caryophanales; Staphylococcaceae
Description: bacterial SSU rRNA
Rfam family: Bacterial small subunit ribosomal RNA
Source: RNAcentral